Molecule: small nuclear RNA, 24 nt
Filed under: Arabidopsis thaliana (thale cress)
Lineage: Eukaryota; Viridiplantae; Streptophyta; Magnoliopsida; Brassicales; Brassicaceae
Description: snRNA_16514
Source: RNAcentral
GUAGUCACUUUACUAUUCAUAAUU